UACGGAGGGUGCAAGCGUUAUCCGGAUUCACUGGGUUUAAAGGGUGCGUAGGUGGGUUGGUAAGUCAGUGGUGAAAUCCCCGAGCUUAACUUGGGAACUGCCAUUGAUACUAUUAAUCUUGAAUACCGUGGAGGUUAGCGGAAUAUGUCAUGUAGCGGUGAAAUGCUUAGAUAUGACAUAGAACACCAAUUGCGAAGGCAGCUGGCUACACGAAUAUUGACACUGAUGCACGAAAAGCGUGGGGAUCAAACAGGAUUAGAAACCCCUG
Molecule: ribosomal RNA, 268 nt
Filed under: uncultured bacterium
Lineage: Bacteria
Description: partial 16S ribosomal RNA
Rfam family: Bacterial small subunit ribosomal RNA
Source: RNAcentral